UCCGCUGAAUUUAAGCAUAUCAAUAAGCGGAGGAAAAAAAAAACUUACAAGGAUUCCCCUAGUAACGGCGAGCGAAUCGAGAAUAGCCAACUUGAGAAUCUGGCGCCAUGGUGUUCAAAUUGUAGUUUGGAGAAGCAUCGUCAGUGGUGGAAAAGACCUAAGUCCACUGGAAGGUGGCAUGAGAUAGGGUGAGAGACUCGUUGUGCCCGGACCAUGUUGCACAACGAGGUGCUGUCAGUGAGUCAGAUUGUUUGGGAAUGCAGCCCCAAUCGGGCUGUAAAUUUUUUCCAAAGCUAAAUACGGGUGAGAGACCGAUAUCAAAUAAGUACCGUGAGAGAAAGAUGAAAAAGACUUUGAAAAGAGAGUCAGAGAGUACUUGAAAUUAUCGGGAGGGAAACGGAUGAGGGCUGGCGAUAUCCCCCUGUAAGAUGCGGAAAGGUCACAAGUUGGUUCACUGAUCGGCUCGGGGCGUUUACCGAUGCAGAUUGCAGCUGCCAAUGGUCUGGCUGUUGAUAUGCUCAAGGAGAUGCCGUCGAUGUGAUCAAGGUAGCCAGCAUGCUUCGUCUUGGCAUGCCUCGGCAUCUACGUGCUCUUGGCAUCGGCCUGUGGGCUCCCCAUUCGAUCUGUUUUGAAACAUGG
Molecule: non-coding RNA, 639 nt
Filed under: Prunus persica (peach)
Lineage: Eukaryota; Viridiplantae; Streptophyta; Magnoliopsida; Rosales; Rosaceae
Description: rRNA LSU_rRNA_eukarya
Rfam family: Eukaryotic large subunit ribosomal RNA
Source: Rfam by way of RNAcentral